Molecule: long non-coding RNA, 2754 nt
Filed under: Triticum aestivum (bread wheat)
Lineage: Eukaryota; Viridiplantae; Streptophyta; Magnoliopsida; Poales; Poaceae
Description: long non-coding RNA (TAES_LNC015474)
Source: RNAcentral
GAAUCCCCUCCAGCGCCGCCACCCCCUUCCCUUGCCCCGGGUCUGGGACUCUCCCACGAGGCCACGAACCCCUCCCCUCCUCCUCGUCGAGCCUCGAUCUAGCCAGAUCCAUCCAAUCCACACACAGAUCUGGCCUAACCAUCCCGCGGCUGCGGUGGCAGGUCACUAGGAUGGCGGUGGGAACAGACCUCGAUGGCGGCAGGUCACCAGGACGGCGGUGGGAACAGACCUCGACGGCGGCGGGUACCUAGAAUCGCUGUUGCACCAACCGCGCGCGUCACAACGGAGGGUGGGGCUUGACGGAUCACCGCCUCACCGAUGUGUUCGCUGCCACCUCUGCCGGAGCAGCGAACGCUGUGCUUGUCGCUAGACCAGCGGGUGCUGGGUGAGCCACGUCGCUUGACUGGGUCAACUCCAAUGGCCCCGGCAUCGGCGGCGAUGAGGCGCCGGACGAUCGGCCCGUGUGGCAGGUGGCGGCGCUCGCAGUGGCAACGGAGAUGCGUGCGUUCGCAGCCCUGUCUGGGUCAUCCUCACUACCGUCCUCGCCUUAGGGUUCAGCAUCGGUCAGUCUCUUUCUUUUCUUUCUGAGCACUAAUGAUCGAUGAAGGUGUUUGUGGCUGCUCAAAUUAAUGUCUGAAUGUGCCAAAUCUGCUGCUAUGUAUAGGAACUAAAACCUGCUGCUCUGAAGGUGCCAGCGUCGCUGAGGGAAUUUAUCAAUGGUUGGUUCAGUACAGUAUCUGCUGCUAUGUUAUUUGCAGCAAGAGAAGAUAUAUGUUCAUGCCAUUUUCUUAACUGUGUCACCCGUUUCAGCUAGUGUACAAACAAACAAAUUAUUGGCAUGCAUGAGUAGUGCACGGACGCAUGUUAGUGUAUCUUAACAGAGAUGGACAAAGUCGUUUUGCGUAAUUAUGCCUGAACAUGCAUGGUAAUAACAAAAUCCUCACCGAUUAUAGAGAGAGCAAGUAGAUACUCUCAUCACUGAGAAAAAGCUUGUUUAGUUGAGAGUGUUCCAUGGGAACCCUCAGUCAGUGUAGCAACACAAACAUGUACAUAAUCAAUUUCUCUGCACCAGCUGAGCUAGUGUCUUACUGACUUCCAAGUCAUAAACAAUGUCAAUAAUGUUGAUAAGUGCCAGCUGCAAAUAAUCUGCAAACACCACAACAGGCUUUCCCUUGUAGCAAUGUCCUUUUAUAUCCAUAUAAUCCUUACCUAAUCAAAUUGUCGUAUCCCCAUAUGCUAGAGGACGAGUUUAGUCAGGCCAGCAACAAUGCGGAGCUACAUAAAUUAAGUAACCUGAUCUGAACUGUGAGCACAUGAUGAUUGUGUGGGUGCAAAUAAAUGGAAGUCGAAAUGCUUUUGGUUGUGACUUACUAUUCCUUAGCCUAUAUGCAUGUCUUAGUUAAACUUGAAAAUCAUUGUUUUCUCCCAUGAUGUUAUGUGAUUCAGUAUUAAAUUAGUAGACUCGAAUAUUUCUUAUUUUGAUCAGUCUUGUGGAAAAUAUGACCUUCAUUGAAUACUCUACUCUUUAUAUGUCGCUCAAGGGUUCCCCGUCGUACCUUUUGGUCUUGUUUUUGUUCAAUCUGCUUUUAUAUGUUAGUCUAGUUAUUAGAUUGAUUUUAGAAUGUUCAUCCAACUUUUGUUGAUCUAAGAAGCAUCUUGCAUGCUAUAGAAGUCAUAUUAGCUAAACUUGGCUUGUAGUUGCCUCUAUGAAAGUGGUUGUAUUUUGAUUUUUAUCUAUUGGUUUGCUGCAGUGGAAUGCUCAUCACCUCAUAGGGAAGAUUUGAACCAAGUGAAUGCAAGGAUUUUUUUGGCAAUGUCUAGCUCAAUCUCACCUUCGAGAAAAUGUAAUAUUUUUCCUCCGGAGUUAGUCUACACUAUCCAGGUUGUAGGCUACUACUGAGAUCCCAUCAAGGUAACACUCUUCCCCCACAUAUUAAUCUGCAAGAAAAGUAUAAACAAGAUUCAAGUGAGCGGUCUUCAUGGGGUUGCUUGUUCGUAUGAUUUGUUCAUGUGCUUCAUUUUGUAAUUCCAGUCAAGUAAAGGCUAAAGAAACAUGCUACCCUCAAACUGAAGUUUUGCAACCAUGUUAAUAUUUAAUGCAAAUUGCCAAGACUCUUCUGGGAGGAUUAUGUUUAUCUCUGUAACUAGUUGUUAGCAUUUUCCUAUUCAACAAUAAAGGUCGACAUCACUACAGGAAAUGGUUCUGAGUGUUACUCCUUCGAUUCAAACUCAUGAAUUAAGUUAAAGUCUACAUAUGAGGUUGUGUUUCAGCCAUGCAUACUUUGUGUGCAUGUGUUGUUUGUGUUGAGUUUGGUUUGGUGGUAUAUGAGCUGUGUUGUAUUGUGGUGCUCAUGUCGGUGCUGUUUAUUUUACUGUGUUAAAGAUAUAUGAUUCACAUCUCUUCAUGUUGGAAGUUAUUAAUGUGAGUUUUUUUUGCACAAAGUGUUGAGCUAACACAAGAAUAAUCUUGCAAUUCCUGAAAUUUCUAUGGGAACAUGUCUUAGUCUUGUGUUAAUUUGAGGUUGUGUUUCGUCCGAUCUUUGUAGAACUAUGUUGUUGUGCGCCUGUGCACUUGUUGAGUCUUUUUGCUAUGCACUUGCACUUGUAGCAUUAUUUUGCUGUGCACUUGUGCACUUGUUGGACCUUGGACCUUGCUGUGUAGAGCAGUUAAUGGAUGAUGUAUUGUAUUUCAUGUGAUGUGUUACUGAAAUGAAAUAUACAAUUUAUCUGCAAUAUUGUAUUCUGUUGUAAUUG